GACGAACGCUGGCGGCGUGCCUAAUACAUGCAAGUAGAACGCUGAAGGAGGAGCUUGCUUCUCUGGAUGAGUUGCGAACGGGUGAGUAACGCGUAGGUAACCUGCCUGGUAGCGGGGGAUAACUAUUGGAAACGAUAGCUAAUACCGCAUAAUAGUAGAUGUUGCAUGACAUUUGCUUAAAAGGUGCAAUUGCAUCACUACCAGAUGGACCUGCGUUGUAUUAGCUAGUUGGUGAGGUAACGGCUCACCAAGGCGACGAUACAUAGCCGACCUGAGAGGGUGAUCGGCCACACUGGGACUGAGACACGGCCCAGACUCCUACGGGAGGCAGCAGUAGGGAAUCUUCGGCAAUGGACGGAAGUCUGACCGAGCAACGCCGCGUGAGUGAAGAAGGGUUUCGGAUCGUAAAGAUCUGUUGUAAGAGAAGAACGAGUGUGAGAGUGGAAAGUUCACACUGUGACGGUAUCUUACCAGAAAGGGACGGCUAACUACGUG
RNAcentral lists this ribosomal RNA (495 nucleotides) under uncultured bacterium. RNAcentral describes it as "partial 16S ribosomal RNA". It matches the Rfam family "Bacterial small subunit ribosomal RNA", at positions 28 to 507 of the family's 1533-position model. The record is from RNAcentral.